UACGAAGGGGGCUAGCGUUGCUCGGAAUUACUGGGCGUAAAGCGCACGUAGGCGGUCUUUUAAGUCGGGGGUGAAAUCCUGGAGCUCAACUCCAGAACUGCCUUCGAUACUGGAAGACUUGAGUCCGGGAGAGGUGAGUGGAAACUGCGAGUGUAGAGGUGAAAUUCGUAGAUAUUCGCAAGAACACCAGUGGCGAAGGCGGCUCACUGGCCCGGUACUGACGCUGAGGUGCGAAAGCGUGGGGAGCAACAGGG
RNAcentral lists this ribosomal RNA (254 nucleotides) under uncultured bacterium. Its description in RNAcentral is "partial 16S ribosomal RNA". It matches the Rfam family "Bacterial small subunit ribosomal RNA", at positions 524 to 776 of the family's 1533-position model. The record is from RNAcentral.